CCCUUAGAUGUUCUGGGCCGCACGCGCGCUACACUGACGAAGUCAGCGAGCAUGUCCUACGCCGACAGGUGCGGGGAAUCUUGUCAAACUUCGUCGUGAUGGGGAUUGAUUAUUGAAAUUCUUGAUCAUCAACGAGGAAUUCCUAGUAAGCGCAAGUCAGCAGCUUGCGUUGAUUACGUCCCUGCCCUUUGUACACAUCGCCCGUCGCUACUACCGAUUGAAUGGUUUAGUGAGAUCUUCGGAUUGGCGCCACUGCGGCUCAGCAAUGGGCUCGGUGGAUGCCGAAAAGUUGAUCAAACUUGAUCAUUUAGAGGAAGUAAAAGUCGUAACA
Molecule: ribosomal RNA, 331 nt
Filed under: uncultured eukaryote
Lineage: Eukaryota
Description: partial 18S ribosomal RNA
Rfam family: Eukaryotic small subunit ribosomal RNA
Source: RNAcentral